RNAcentral lists this non-coding RNA (148 nucleotides) under Nomascus leucogenys (northern white-cheeked gibbon). Lineage: Eukaryota; Metazoa; Chordata; Mammalia; Primates; Hylobatidae. The record is from Rfam by way of RNAcentral.
GCUGGGCAUGGUGGUGGGUGCCUGUAAUCCCAGCUACUUAGGAGGCUGAGGCAGGAGAAUCACUUGAACCCAGGAGGUAGAGGUUGCAGUGAGCCAAGAUCACGCCACUGCACUCCAUCCUGGGCAGCAGAGUGAGACUCUGCCUCAA